CACGUUGAAACACCGGUUCCUGUACGAUCUCCGAGGUUAAGCAACUAGGUCAGUACCUAGAUGGGUGACCUCUUGGGAAAACCAAAUGUUGUA
This is a non-coding RNA of Acanthosepion pharaonis, 93 nucleotides long. Lineage: Eukaryota; Metazoa; Mollusca; Cephalopoda; Sepiida; Sepiidae. The record is from the annotation of a GenBank genome assembly.